GCAUUGUGAGCAUCUAAGUUGGCCUGGGGUCCUCUGGAGGUUGCCUCCCUCUUUCUGUCUCUGUUGUUUGUGCCUGGGUGAGAGUUCUCUGCUGUGUUUGUUCUCUCUUUUUGCAGGGAGCUGAACUGCUUUGCCCCAGCCCAGCUGCAGAUCUGCACUCAGCCUCAGCCCCAAGCCCUGGCAGGGUGGGAUGCUUUGGUACCAGGCCGUGGAGCUGUUUGAAAUGCAAUUGCUGCUUGCAGCUGGUUCAGAAAUGGAUUUCCUGUGGCUGUGGGGGCAGAAAUGUGUCUGUGGUUUGCACUUUGCUUUCCACUCCACUGGCCAAGCCAGCCAGAUGUGCAGCAGCAGCAGCAGGAUGGGCACGAGGGCCCCAGCUGCUGCGGUGAAUCCGUCAGCACGGACGCUGGUGCCGCUGCAGCCUGGCCCUGCAGCCUGGCAGGGUGAUCUCCUUUGGCUCGGCUCCUGUGGGCUCCAGAUGCUGACAGAGCAGCUGGAUGAGCAGAAAGCCUCUCGUGCAAACGGCUGUGGAGUGCUUCUCUCUGUUCCCUGCUGCUGGGAGGUGCUGACAGGUUAGGGUUUGCAGGGAGGCAGAUCUCGCGGAGAAGGGCUGAACUCACUGUGCAAGGACACUGCACAAUCCAGUGUGGAUCAAAAGCGAGUGACAACUUUAUUUAGUAGCCACACGCUUAUAUGUGUUACAGAUAAUUUAUGCAUACAUGUAAGAAGCUAAAUGGCUGAAUCCCUAAAUACCCCAUUUGCUCUGCUUGAGUUGUCUGCUGACUCAUCAAGGACAGUGCCUCCCUGGCUAGUUAUAUUAAAUGCUGCCUUUGUUUAUUCAAUAUGUCUUUGUUUCUGUGUGGCCUAGCACAGCCUUAAUUUAGUUCCAUAUACUCAUCCUGCUUGCCCACUUCUAAGUCAUGUCCAUUUUCCUUUAGCCAUUCUGCAACAAGGGUUAGUGGAGGGGUGUGAAGAAUUUGCAGGGAUCUCUAAGGGUCUGCAGACACCUUUGAAAGGUCUGAAGUUGUCUGUAGAUGUCUCUAGGGUGCUGCAGGGGUCUGCAGGCACCUCUUAAAUGUCUGGAGGGGUCUGUAGCUGUCUGUAGAGGUCUCUAGAGCUUUGUAGAGGAAUGUGGGUGCCUGCAGCUGUCUCUAGGGGUGUGUGGAGGUCUGCAGGCACCUUUCAAAUGUCUGGAGGGGUCUGCAGAGCUCUGUCAGGGUCUGUAGAUUUUGGCAGGGUUCUGUAGGAGUCUCUGGGCAGCUUUUAAAGGUGUGGAGGGGUCUGCAGGUGCCUGUUGAGCUUUGUCCAUGUCUGUGGUGGUGUGUAGGUGAGUGUGGGUGUCUGCAGAGGUGUGAAGGGGUCUGUAGCUAUUUGUCAGGGUCUGAGAGAGUCUGCAGAGGUCUGUAGAGUUGAGUAGGUGUUUGGAGGUUUCUGUGUGGGUCUGUAGGUGCCUGCAGGCAUCAGUGAAGGCUCUGGAGGGGUCUGUAGAUGUGUGCAGGGGUCUGUUAAAUAUCUGGAGAGGUCUGGAUGGGUGUGGGGAGCUCUGUAGGGAUCUGUAUGUGUUUGCAGGCAGCUGCAGGGGUCCGUAGAUGCCUGUAGGGAUUUGCAGGGCUCUGUUAGUUCUCUGUAGAGGUCUGCCUGGGUCUGGAGGUGCCUUUUAAUGGGUCUGUGGAGGUCUGGAGGGCUCUGCAGUGGGCUGCAGUGGUCUGUUAAAGGUGUGGAGGGGUCUGUAGGUGUCUGCAUUCAGUGAAGGAGUUCUUUGGCUCCAGGACACUUUUGUCCAGUGUCUCUAAAGUGUGACUGUCCCAAAUGAGAUAGAGGUGCACUGGCAGCGUGUUUGCAGAUGGCCCCAAGCUGAGUGGUGCUGGAGAGCAAGCAGAGGGGCAGGAUGGCAUCCAGGAAACACCUGGGCAGGCAGGGGAGCUGGGCCCAGGCGAAGCUUGUGAGGUUCCAGGAGAGCAAGGGCAGGGUGCUGCGUGUGGGCGGGAGGAAGCCUGCCUGUGCCUGCGGGCUGGGGGCGGAGGCGAUAAAGAGCAGCCCUGGGGGUGCUGGGGAGAAGCUGAGUGCGAGCACAUGGUGUGAGCUUGCAGGCCAGGAGGAGCCUGUCGGUGUCUGCAGGGCUGUGCAAGCAGCUGUAGGAGUCUGCCCAGCUGCAGGGAUGGAUUUGCCUGCACUCAAGCUGCUGCUGCCAGAGCCCCUCCGUGUCAAUCUGUGCUGCCGUUGGGUUCUGCAGCUCUCUCCAGCAAGCAUGGCAUGAGCUGAAGGAGCAGCAGGAGCAGCAUGGCCGUUCCCCAGGCAGCAGGAGGGUUCAGCCCAGCACCAGCUCAUGCGGGAGGAGCAGAUGCUGAGGAACAUCCCCCACGAGACGCAGGUGGCCAAAGAGGCUGGGUCAGGUAAGGCUUUGUGUGGAGUUUGUGCUCCUUCUGGCAGUCAGGUGCACCGGUUCUGAGGAGUAGAAGCAUGGAGUGGUUGCUGUUGGAGAAGAGCUUCCAAAUCAUCCAGGGCAGCCCUUAAGGCAGCACUGCCAGGUCACCCCUAAAGCAUGUCCCUGAGCAGCACAGCUGUAGGACUUUGCCUCCCUCCAGGUAGCUGCAGCCAGCAGUGAGCUCACUGAUCAGACUCUGUGCUCAGAGCAGAGCUGCUGCAGCCCUCUCAGCAUCUUGGUAGCCUCCUCUGCACUGGCUCCAACACUUCCAUGUCCUUCUUGU
Molecule: long non-coding RNA, 2705 nt
Organism: Pogoniulus pusillus (Red-fronted tinkerbird)
Lineage: Eukaryota; Metazoa; Chordata; Aves; Piciformes; Lybiidae
Exons: 4
Source: RefSeq, a predicted model, not a curated record